RNAcentral lists this long non-coding RNA (2254 nucleotides) under Schizosaccharomyces pombe (fission yeast). The record is from RNAcentral. Lineage: Eukaryota; Fungi; Ascomycota; Schizosaccharomycetes; Schizosaccharomycetales; Schizosaccharomycetaceae.
UGGACACAAACAACAGCAUCGUAAUGGUCAAUGUCUUACUCAUUUUGCCUUAGGUAAAGAGAAGAAAGGAAGAAGGAAAGAAAAAAAGACCAACAACGAUGUUGUGAAGUUAAAGGAUAUUUUGUUUUUAAGACUUUGUAGGCUCUGCCUGAAGAAUUCCUAAGUAUUUGAAAAUAGGAAUGUAAUUCUCAAUAGGAAGAGAGAAAAAGAAAGUCGCGAAUUUAAGUGAGAAAAGAGAAGAAAAAACAAAUAGAAAAUGAAAAAAAAAGAGUUUCUUUAUUGGAAUUAUUUCUUUGGUAUUGUUUUGUUUUGUUUUGUUUUGUUUUUUUCAAAAUCCUAUUUUCGUUCGAUCAAAUGCAAGACAAAAAUUCCUAGUAUCUUGUGAAAAGAUCGUAAACAAAUGGGUAUGCGAUUAUACUGCUUCCACGCUUACGCUUUUACGCUUACGAUUGUUGGAUUGGAAUAGGCAGUUGAAUGAGAGAGAAUGGGAAUCAACCAAAGAUACAGCCACAAGAAGCAAAAAAAAAAAGAAAUUGCAGGUGUAUUGGUAUGGUGUGAUAUGUACCGCUAGUGUGAAUUAACCUUGAAAACGAAUUCAACGAAAACUGUGAUCACAAAUAAGAAAAACGAUCCUUGUUCAGCAGGGUAUAUAUAUACCUGUGAGGUUAGGAUUGAUAUUAUACCUGCGAAGGGUAAGUUUAGGAAAGAUCAGAGAAUGUAGCUCGAAAGAUGCCUUUACCUUCCAACUUUUUCACACUUUAUAUAUGUUAUGGAAUAGAGCCUCCAACUCAACCAAAUGCGGGGAUACUGCAAAUUCAAUCUACCAUUUCUACGUAGUAUUGUUUAGCUUUUCAUAUCAACCUGGGUCGAGACACUUAGUGUGCAAAAUAGUCAUCCUAAACAAACUUUCCACAACACCCUUUAGGAAGUGUAAUGUUGCAUACCAAGCCCAAAUCCAUUCACUUCCUCUAUGCCUGUUAAACUCAAACGCAAAUUUGCCUACCAACGAUGCGGGACACCAGUCCAAAUGGUUGUGAGAAUUUAGUAGGGAACAAGUUACUAUACGUAAGGGUCGAUGCUGCAGCCCCAACUCCCCGCUAACUAUGGCUGGGCAGAAAAAGUCUGGGGCAAUAGUAGUAGAAAGUUAGUUAAUCGGUUGAGUGGGAUGAAUGGGAUUUGAGAGAAAGGUUAUGGGUAUGAAAGUGGUGGAUAGAGAGUGAAAAAAAAAGGUUAGAGGAAAAGUAGAAAAAUAGAGAAGGAAAGUAGAUAAGAAAAAUAAUCAAUAAAGGUAGGGCAAGACAGGGUUAAACGAAAAGGUGAUAGUUUGAACAUUGUUUACAUGAAAAGAAAAAAAAAAGGCGACCGUUGUAUGAACAUUUUUGUCGAUCGAUCGAUCAAUCGAUCAAUCGAUUCUCCUACCUACCAACCACCCACUUCCAACUAUUCCUCUCUACCUUACUCCCCUAUACCUUAUCCUUUGCAUCGGAGGGUUUUCCUCGGUUAGUGGGCAAGAAAAUCCAUGGUGACCACGUUAUAGAGUGGGGUUCCUUCAUGAUGGCGUGUUACAUGGGGUUUUGGGGUAUGAGCCUAUUACACCCAAAGCAUUAUGCUUUGAUACGUUGUCACAACCCCGCUCAUUACUUCCACUCGGUUGGCAGGACGAAUGAUCGUUGGCUAAGCGAUCGUUUAGGUGCGGAGAAGAAGGAUCGCUUCUGCCAUAGUGAUUGCGGCACCUCUUUAGUAGUAACUUAAAAAAAAACAAAGUUUCGCUAUGGGAAGAUGAUGAAAUUCGCUAAAGACAAGUUUCCGGAAAAUCCAAUGAUUGGUGAUGUUGAAAAGCGGGGAUUGCCAUGCAUUGAUGCAAAUCGCCUAAUGCAAAUUUUCCGUCCAAUUCACCAUUAGCUCAUCCAGGUAAGAUGUCUGAACACACAUCGGAUCACCUCCACCAAUGUUUGCUUUAGGUAAACACUCCCAUCGAAUGAGAAAAGGGUUGUUGACAACUAAACUUUGCUGUGCACCGGGGAAGUUGCGGGGCCUGUAAAUUUGACAGUAGCGGAAAAACUUCAAAGGACUGAAGGUUUGAGAAAUAAGCUUUUCUCCAGUCAUGCAGAAAACGAAAUAAAAACGCACAGUUUCGCCGGGUUUCCUUCGGGUUCCUUUCCUUUGGCUUUUACAACAUUCUCGUCUUGACAUCAUCACGAACCAACUCUCGAUCCAAUUUAAGGUAAAAACGAAUGUGUGGGUCCAAUGCGGG